Molecule: small nuclear RNA, 109 nt
Organism: Jaculus jaculus (lesser Egyptian jerboa)
Lineage: Eukaryota; Metazoa; Chordata; Mammalia; Rodentia; Dipodidae
Source: Ensembl
GUGCUUGCUUCAGCAGCACUUAUACUAAAAUUAGAACAAUACAGAGUUGAUUAGCAUGGUCCUUGCACAAGGAUGACACUAUGUAGUCUCAGAGUGGCCUCAAACUCAU